GAUUCAGUAGCAGGAAGGAGUUUUGAGGUGUUACGUUUUAUUCCCUCCCCCCCCACUGAUUCAGUAGCAGGAAGGAGUUGAGGUGUCGCGUUUUAUUCCCUCCCCCCCCACGGAUUCAGUAGCAGGAAGGAGUUUUGAGGUGUUGCGAUAUCAUAGAGUCUUUUAGCGUCACAGAAUACCAGUUAACCGAAAGCAGUAAUUCAGCGAUUGUUAGUUUGUACAUAGACCAGUACCAGGAUCCAUAUUUGCUUGUUUCUCUAUCAUGUCUUUUACAUUUGUAGGAGAAGUUGUUGUUUUAAUGAACUAUCUUUGUUUCAGAUGAUCUGUCUGUCUGUCUGUCUGUGUGUAAGAUUUAUUGUAAAAUAAUUGUAAAGGAUCAAAAUAAAUGGAGUUUGGAGAGA
Molecule: long non-coding RNA, 401 nt
Organism: Oncorhynchus masou masou (cherry salmon)
Lineage: Eukaryota; Metazoa; Chordata; Actinopteri; Salmoniformes; Salmonidae
Exons: 2
Source: RefSeq, a predicted model, not a curated record